Molecule: ribosomal RNA, 260 nt
Filed under: uncultured bacterium
Lineage: Bacteria
Description: partial 16S ribosomal RNA
Rfam family: Bacterial small subunit ribosomal RNA
Source: RNAcentral
UACGAAGGGAGCUAGCGUUGUUCGGAAUCACUGGGCGUAAAGCGCACGUAGGCGGAUGUGUCAGUCAGGGGUGAAAUCCCGGGGGCUCAACCUCGGAACUGCCUUUGAUACAGCACGUCUUGAGUCCGAUAGAGGUGGGUGGAAUUCCUAGUGUAGAGGUGAAAUUCGUAGAUAUUAGGAAGAACACCGGUGGCGAAGGCGGCCCACUGGAUCGGUACUGACGCUGAGGUGCGAAAGCGUGGGGAGCAAACAGGAUAGAA